UACGGAGGGGGCUAGCGUUGUUCGGAAUUACUGGGCGUAAAGCGCGCGUAGGCGGACCUGCAAGUCGGGGGUGAAAGCCCGAGGCUCAACCUCGGAACUGCCUUCGAUACUGCGGGUCUCGAGUCCGGGAGAGGUGAGUGGAAUUCCUAGUGUAGAGGUGAAAUUCGUAGAUAUUAGGAAGAGCACCAGUGGCGAAGGCGGCUCACUGGCCCGGUACUGACGCUGAGGCGCGAAAGCGUGGGGAGCGAACAGG
This 253-nucleotide ribosomal RNA is filed under the name uncultured bacterium. Its description in RNAcentral is "partial 16S ribosomal RNA". It matches the Rfam family "Bacterial small subunit ribosomal RNA", at positions 524 to 776 of the family's 1533-position model. The record is from RNAcentral.